AACGAACGCUGGCGGCAGGCUUGACACAUGCAAGUCGAGCGCCCCGCCAGGGGAGCGGCAGACGUGUGAGUAACGCGUGGGAACGGACCCUUAUCUUCAGGGUAGCUUCGGGAUACUGGGAGUAAUACGGAAGGAGCCCUUUGGUGGAACGAUUUAACGGGUAAGGAUCGGGCCGCGUUGGCUUAGCUCGUUGGUGGGGUAAAUGCCUACCAAUGCGACAAUCCAUAGCUGGUGUGAGAGGCUGAUCAGCGACAUUGGGACUGAGACACGGUCCAGACUCCUACGGGAGGCAGGAGUGGGGGAUAUUGGACUAUGGGCGCAAGGCUGAUCGAGCCAUGCCGGGUGAGUGAUGAAGGCGUUAGGGAUGUAAAGCUCGUUCACCGGAGAAGAUAAUGACGGUAUCCGGAGAAGAAGCACCGGCUAACUUCGUG
RNAcentral lists this ribosomal RNA (431 nucleotides) under uncultured bacterium. RNAcentral describes it as "partial 16S ribosomal RNA". It matches the Rfam family "Bacterial small subunit ribosomal RNA", at positions 29 to 507 of the family's 1533-position model. The record is from RNAcentral.